This 595-nucleotide ribosomal RNA is filed under the name Acinetobacter baumannii OIFC032. Its description in RNAcentral is "bacterial SSU rRNA". It matches the Rfam family "Bacterial small subunit ribosomal RNA", at positions 28 to 617 of the family's 1533-position model. The record is from RNAcentral. Lineage: Bacteria; Pseudomonadati; Pseudomonadota; Gammaproteobacteria; Moraxellales; Moraxellaceae.
AUUGAACGCUGGCGGCAGGCUUAACACAUGCAAGUCGAGCGGGGGAAGGUAGCUUGCUACUGGACCUAGCGGCGGACGGGUGAGUAAUGCUUAGGAAUCUGCCUAUUAGUGGGGGACAACAUCUCGAAAGGGAUGCUAAUACCGCAUACGUCCUACGGGAGAAAGCAGGGGAUCUUCGGACCUUGCGCUAAUAGAUGAGCCUAAGUCGGAUUAGCUAGUUGGUGGGGUAAAGGCCUACCAAGGCGACGAUCUGUAGCGGGUCUGAGAGGAUGAUCCGCCACACUGGGACUGAGACACGGCCCAGACUCCUACGGGAGGCAGCAGUGGGGAAUAUUGGACAAUGGGGGGAACCCUGAUCCAGCCAUGCCGCGUGUGUGAAGAAGGCCUUAUGGUUGUAAAGCACUUUAAGCGAGGAGGAGGCUACUUUAGUUAAUACCUAGAGAUAGUGGACGUUACUCGCAGAAUAAGCACCGGCUAACUCUGUGCCAGCAGCCGCGGUAAUACAGAGGGUGCGAGCGUUAAUCGGAUUUACUGGGCGUAAAGCGUGCGUAGGCGGCUUAUUAAGUCGGAUGUGAAAUCCCCGAGCUUAACUUGG